GCCUGGGUGGCUCAGUUGGUUAGCAUCUGACUUUGGCUCAGGUCAUGAUCUCAUGGUUUGUGAGUUCGAGCCCCACAUCAGGCU
RNAcentral lists this transfer RNA (84 nucleotides) under Felis catus (domestic cat). It matches the Rfam family "tRNA". From Rfam's summary of the family: Transfer RNA (tRNA) molecules are approximately 80 nucleotides in length. Their secondary structure includes four short double-helical elements and three loops (D, anti-codon, and T loops). Lineage: Eukaryota; Metazoa; Chordata; Mammalia; Carnivora; Felidae. The record is from Rfam by way of RNAcentral. RNAcentral also lists the same sequence under 1 other name.